This is a long non-coding RNA of Varanus komodoensis (Komodo dragon), 3402 nucleotides long. RefSeq lists it as uncharacterized. The record is from RefSeq and is a predicted model, not a curated record. Lineage: Eukaryota; Metazoa; Chordata; Lepidosauria; Squamata; Varanidae. The transcript is spliced from 4 exons.
CCAUUUUAAGGCAUGUUACCGAGAGUCCUGAGAAGCUCUUCUCCCAUUGGAUUCUGGAUACUCCCAUUUCUGCCAGAUGUGUACCUGUUGAUUCUUUUCUAUAAAGACUGGUCCUGUUUGUCCUCUUGUGAAUACACAACACAAUUGCUGACAGAAGAUGGCAUAUAUUGCAUGAGAAGAUGAGCAAUUGAACAAGACUCUAAUGGCUCGAAACAUGAAAUGAUGUGCUGGGCUGCAGCAUCUUACGUGGUGUCCAUCACCUCUGACUUACCCCACCUAUUUUGGAUGAGACCUUCCAGGGCUUCUUGGAGCUGAUGAUGGUUGAAGCCUCAAACAUCAGGAGGGCACCAGGCUGGAGAAGGGCUGCCCUGCACUACUUCUCGACACACGGGAGCUUUUUGCACAAGGUGCUUCCUGAUGGAGGAUAUAAAUGCCCUGCCUCCUUCAGGGGGCUUGACAGUCUGUGACAAUGUGAGGGCCCAAGCCCUGGUGAAUGCAGGACUCCAAGACUCAGAUGGCUGCCCAGCUGCACCUGGAAUGCCUCUAAGUGCAGGAGCACCCAUGAGCUCCCUAGGGCUGCUGUGGACAUCCCGGUCUGGCCCCCAAGCAUGUACUUCAGCAUACAGAAAGCCCUUCAACUCAACCACUGGACACACAUUCUGAAUUCUAAAGCUGAGUUGUCACAAGUUGAAUAUCUGUUCCUUCAGAGAUUAUAAUGAAGAAGGGUGAGAACUUCCCAAAUGAAUUGCACAGACAGUUGCCCAUUCAUUUUUGGAUUCCUCUAACUCUUUCAGCUUAAAGUGGUUCUUCUAAGCAUGACUACCGGUGCUUUCAUAAACCAGAGAAUUAACUAUUCUAGAUACCUUGUAGCUUCCAGAAAAGGGUUUUAUUCUCCUUUGUAUUUAGCUUGGUCUGAUCCCUAAAUUGUAGUAGAUUUCACAACUAUAUUUGAAAUGUAUUUGUUUACUUAUCUUGCUGUAGAUGCAUGUGAACUAAGGAAUAGUGCUUGAACAUUUAUCUGCCUCUGCACAAAUGAGAAUUUUGCAGCUAAUGGCAUAAGAACAGCCAUGUGGGAUCAGACCAUCUUGUCCAGCAUUCCAUUCGCACAAUGGUCAACCUGCAAUCCACAGGACACCCACAAGCAGGACCUGAAUGUGACAGUACCCUCCCACCCAUGUUCCCCAGCAUACUGGACAUAGGCAUACUGCCUCUGAUACUGGAGAUAGCAUGCAGCCAUCACUGGAGCCUUCUCCUCCAUGAAUUUGUCCAGGUCCCUUUUUAAAGACAUCUAGAUAGGUGGCCCUCGAAGUGAAUUCCAUAGAUUAACUAUGAGCUGUGUGAAAUAGUACUUCCUUUUAUCUUCUCUGUGUCUCCUGCCAAUCAGUGUCAUGGUUACCUUACUGAGGGGGAAAGUAAUCUCCUUAACCACUUUCUCCACACCAUGCAUAAAUCUGUACACCACUGUCAUAUCUCCCUUCACUUGCCUUUUCCCAAGAUGUUGUAAUUCUCUUGAUAUUUCAGUUAUCUGUUUUUCACUUUGCUUAACUGUAUUAUCCUUUUUCAGACGCAGUGACCAAAACCGUGCACAUUAAAGCCUAUUUGCUUUUUGACGCACAUUCUUCCAGUCCUGAAAGAUCCUUCUGGAGCUCCUUGUAAUCACUUUUUGCUUUAAUCAUCCUAAAUAAUAUGGUAUUGUCAACAAACCUAUCUACUUCACUGAUUCCACUUAUUCAUAAAUGAGCUAGAAUUAAGAGUAAAAGCAUUGUUCCCAAUUAAAAUCCCUGUAGAACCUUACUGUCUAUAUCCCUUCACUAGAAGAAUCAUUGGGGGAUUUAUUCUUACUCUGGUUUUCUGUUCUUUGAUGAGAUAUCAGUCCAUAGGUUGACCUGUCCUUUAACUCCAUGACUAAGUCUGCUGAGGCAGCUUCAGUGACAGACUUAGUCAAAAGCCUUUUGGAAGUCCAAGUAAACAAUGUCUACUGGAACAACCCUGUCCGUGUGUUGUCCUUAAAAGGUUAGUGAGACAGGACUUACCCUGGAGAAACAAGUUAAUGCAUGCAGACUUGCACAAUCAUUUUAACAAUCAGUAUGUAUUGCUUAUUUAACCAUCAACCCAUUUAUUUGUAUAUCUUCAUUAAACUGUACUUACCACAUUACUGUUGGUGAUUGUCCAAUAUGCUGCCUCUACUGAUGCACAGAACAUCACAGCAAAGCAGAAGAAACCCUACAAAUAAACAGAAGGCACCAUUAGAAUAAAUACUUCUGGGAAGUACUAGCCUGGAGAUUCCUGAUAUUUGCAUUGAUAUGCGGUUUCACGUAUUUUUUUAAAGGAGGUUCUGGCUGGUAAACCCAAAAUUCCAACAUGUACAUCAAACAACCUUCCCGCCAAAACGGCUUCCCCAUUAAUGGAUCGCCUUCUGUUUGCAAUGCAUGGUCUCUCCCUGCAGCCUGGUUGUUUCAUCAUCUCAUCUCCCAAUUUUAUCUCUUUUUGUCCCUCUGUCACCCUCUAUGCCUCUCCUCAUGCAUCUUUGCUCUCUCACAUGCUUUGUGUCACACGAUUCCUCUUGCACAUACACACUGCCUACUUCUUUCUCUCCCUUAUCUUUCCCACUACUAAGCACAUAUCCCCAGCUUAUCCUCACACUGUUCAUGAUGAAGCUUCUGUGACAGGUGGUUUCUGAUUAGAUCACUACACAAUCAGAAUGCCCAAUCAACUGAAGCUUAUUUAUCUGGCACUCACAACCAAUGAAUCAAUUGUUUGGAUAAUACGUUGUCAUAAACAUCAGUUUAAACAGCUUCUGUUUAAACAGCUUCUGGAAAUACGAUGUGAAGUGUAAAACAAACAAAAGCUACCAAUCCAUUGUGAAAAGGGGAGACUUUCUUAAAUAUUUGUUCCCUCAUAUAGCUUUACACUAGAGUUAAAUAGCCACCAACACAUUCACAUGUCACCUUUAUUCCCAAUGAUGAAUUGUUGAAAGCUAACUUUAAUCAACUAAUGCUUUAGUUUCUUAACAUACGGAUUCCCGCUUUCAGCCUUAUGAGAACUAUUGAGUUCCAUGCAUACUGUUUUGACUUCCUUCCACUUGAGUAGACUGUUGUACCACAUGCCUUCAUUUCAAUGGAGUUUAGACAUGGGCUGUGCCCAUGGCUUCCAAAAUAAAAGCCAGCCUUCACGUCAGUGUUUUGUGAUGAGUUUUAGUAAAGAUGAAACCAUGUAAAAAAUCAUGUGGAAACCCUGCCACGGACAAAUCCAAUUUACUCCAGACAAAUCCAGACUCUGAAAACUCCUCGCUGACAUACUAGUCAGCCAAUGUUCUACCAUGGAUUUCUUUAUUUCAAGCAAGUCCAUGCAUGUACAAGAAUAGUCUUAUAUUUUAUUGUGAUUCAACUUUCAAGUAUCCAU